This 465-nucleotide ribosomal RNA is filed under the name uncultured bacterium. RNAcentral describes it as "bacterial SSU rRNA". It matches the Rfam family "Bacterial small subunit ribosomal RNA", at positions 338 to 795 of the family's 1533-position model. The record is from RNAcentral.
CCUACGGGCCGCACCAGUGGGGGAUAUUGCACAAUGGGCGCAAGCCUGAUGCAGCCAUGCCGCGUGUAUGAAGAAGGCCUUCGGGUUGUAAAGUACUUUCAGCGGGGAGGAAGGUGUUAUGGUUAAUAACCGCAGCAAUUGACGUUACCCGCAGAAGAAGCACCGGCUAACUCCGUGCCAGCAGCCGCGGUAAUACGGAGGGUGCAAGCGUUAAUCGGAAUUACUGGGCGUAAAGCGCACGCAGGCGGUCUGUCAAGUCGGAUGUGAAAUCCCCGGGCUCAACCUGGGAACUGCAUUCGAAACUGGCAGGCUAGAGUCUUGUAGAGGGGGGUAGAAUUCCAGGUGUAGCGGUGGAAUGCGUAGAGAUCUGGAGGAAUACCGGUGGCGAAGGCGGCCCCCUGGACAAAGACUGACGCUCAGGUGCGAAAGCGUGGGGAGCAAACAGGAUUAGAUACCCGCGUAGUC